AGAGUUUGAUCAUGGCUCAGAUUGAACGCUGGCGGAAUGCUUUACACAUGCAAGUCGAACGAUGAACCUUAGCUUGCUAAGGGGAUUAGUGGCGAACGGGUGAGUAAUAUAUCGGAACGUGCCUUGUAAUGGGGGAUAACUAGUCGAAAGAUUAGCUAAUACCGCAUACGCCCUGAGGGGGAAAGUAGGGGAUCUUCGGACCUUACGUUAUAAGAGCGGCCGAUAUCUGAUUAGCUAGUUGGUGGGGUAAUGGCCUACCAAGGCUUCGAUCAGUAGCUGGUCUGAGAGGACGACCAGCCACACUGGAACUGAGACACGGUCCAGACUCCUACGGGAGGCAGCAGUGGGGAAUUUUGGACAAUGGGCGCAAGCCUGAUCCAGCCAUUCCGCGUGAGUGAAGAAGGCCUUCGGGUUGUAAAGCUCUUUCGCAAGGGAAGAAAACUUACUUUCUAAUAAAGAGUGAGGCUGACGGUACCUUGAUAAGAAGCACCGGCUAACUACGUGCCAGCAGCCGCGGUAAUACGUAGGGUGCGAGCGUUAAUCGGAAUUACUGGGCGUAAAGCGUGCGCAGGCGGUUUGGCAAGUCAGAUGUGAAAUCCCCGAGCUCAACUUGGGAACUGCGUUUGAAACUGCCAGACUAGAAUAUGUCAGAGGGGGGUAGAAUUCCACGUGUAGCAGUGAAAUGCGUAGAGAUGUGGAGGA
RNAcentral lists this ribosomal RNA (702 nucleotides) under uncultured bacterium. RNAcentral's name for it is "bacterial SSU rRNA". It matches the Rfam family "Bacterial small subunit ribosomal RNA", at positions 8 to 705 of the family's 1533-position model. The record is from RNAcentral.